RNAcentral lists this ribosomal RNA (591 nucleotides) under Candida albicans. RNAcentral's name for it is "LSU rRNA". It matches the Rfam family "Eukaryotic large subunit ribosomal RNA", at positions 52 to 656 of the family's 3401-position model. The record is from RNAcentral. Lineage: Eukaryota; Fungi; Ascomycota; Pichiomycetes; Serinales; Debaryomycetaceae.
GGAGGAAAAGAAACCAACAGGGAUUGCCUCAGUAGCGGCGAGUGAAGCGGCAAAAGCUCAAAUUUGAAAUCUGGCGUCUUUAGCGUCCGAGUUGUAAUUUGAAGAAGGUAUCUUUGGGCCCGGCUCUUGUCUAUGUUCCUUGGAACAGGACGUCACAGAGGGUGAGAAUCCCGUGCGAUGAGAUGACCCGGGUCUGUGUAAAGUUCCUUUGACGAGUCGAGUUGUUUGGGAAUGCAGCUCUAAGUGGGUGGUAAAUUCCAUCUAAAGCUAAAUAUUGGCGAGAGACCGAUAGCGAACAAGUACAGUGAUGGAAAGAUGAAAAGAACUUUGAAAAGAGAGUGAAAAAGUACGUGAAAUUGUUGAAAGGGAAGGGCUUGAGAUCAGACUUGGUAUUUUGCAUGCUGCUCUCUCGGGGGCGGCCGCUGCGGUUUACCGGGCCAGCAUCGGUUUGGAGCGGCAGGAUAAUGGCGGAGGAAUGUGGCACGGCUUCUGCUGUGUGUUAUAGCCUCUGACGAUACUGCCAGCCUAGACCGAGGACUGCGGUUUUUUUACCUAGGAUGUUGGCAUAAUGAUCUUAAGUCGCCCGUCUUG